Molecule: ribosomal RNA, 721 nt
Filed under: uncultured Colwellia sp.
Lineage: Bacteria; Pseudomonadati; Pseudomonadota; Gammaproteobacteria; Alteromonadales; Colwelliaceae
Description: bacterial SSU rRNA
Rfam family: Bacterial small subunit ribosomal RNA
Source: RNAcentral
AGAGUUUGAUCCUGGCUCAGAUUGAACGCUGGCGGCAGGCUUAACACAUGCAAGUCGAGCGGAAACGAGAAUAGCUUGCUAUUCGGCGUCGAGCGGCGGACGGGUGAGUAAUGCUUGGGAACAUGCCUUGAGGUGGGGGACAACAGUUGGAAACGACUGCUAAUACCGCAUAAUGUCUUCGGACCAAAGGAGGGGAUCUUCGGACCUUUCGCCUUUAGAGUGGCCCAAGUGAGAUUAGCUAGUUGGUGGGGUAAAGGCUCACCAAGGCGACGAUCUCUAGCUGGUUUGAGAGGAUGAUCAGCCACACUGAGACUGAGACACGGCCCAGACUCCUACGGGAGGCAGCAGUGGGGAAUAUUGCACAAUGGGGGAAACCCUGAUGCAGCCAUGCCGCGUGUGUGAAGAGGGCCUUCGGGUUGUAAAGCACUUUCAGUCGUGAGGAAAGGUUUGUAGCUAAUAUCUGCAAGCUGUGACGUUAGCGACAGAAGAAGCACCGGCUAACUCCGUGCCAGCAGCCGCGGUAAUACGGAGGGUGCGAGCGUUAAUCGGAAUUACUGGGCGUAAAGCGUGCGUAGGCGGUUUCUUAAGCGAGAUGUGAAAUCCCGGGGCUCAACCUCGGAACUGCAUUUCGAACUGGGUGACUAGAGUACUGUAGAGGGUGGUGGAAUUUCCAGUGUAGCGGUGAAAUGCGUAGAGAUUGGAAAGGAACAUCAGUGGCGAA